UCGCCUGCUCCAUUAACAUAUAAAUUUCCUGAGCCAUCUGCUGAAAACAAAAAAGACACGGUUCCACUUAUUUUAUAUACGAUUCUGAAAGAAAACUAACUUAAGAUCAAAGGAAAGAAAUGGCGAAUCUUGCCUUCUGCUCUAA
Populus euphratica (Euphrates poplar) is the source of this 145-nucleotide long non-coding RNA. RefSeq lists it as uncharacterized. The transcript is spliced from 2 exons. The record is from RefSeq and is a predicted model, not a curated record. NCBI's taxonomy places the organism in Eukaryota, Viridiplantae, Streptophyta, Magnoliopsida, Malpighiales, Salicaceae.